RNAcentral lists this long non-coding RNA (322 nucleotides) under Mytilus galloprovincialis (Mediterranean mussel). The record is from RNAcentral. Lineage: Eukaryota; Metazoa; Mollusca; Bivalvia; Mytilida; Mytilidae.
ACUAUAAGCAAUAGGGCUAGUAUAUUCGGUGUAUGGAAGGACUGUAAGGUGUACAUGUCCAACUGGCAAGUGUCAUCUGACCUUGACCUCAUUUCAUGUUCAGUGGUUAUAGUUAAAUUUUUGUGUUUUGGUCUGUUUUUCUCAUACUAUAUGCAAUAGGGCUACUAUAUUUGUUGUAUGGAAUGAUUGUAAAGUGUACAUGUCUAGCGGGCAGAUGUCAUGUGACCUUGACCUCAUUUUCAUGGUUCAGUGGUCAAAGUUAAGUUUUUGAGUUUUGGUCUUUUUAUCUAAUGCUAUAUGCCAUAGGUCAACUAUAUUUGGU